AAUCCUAUGAAUCCUGCCCAUGUUGAAAAGUUCUGAUUCCCUUUUCUCUUCCCCAGAAUUACCAGAGGAUACAUAAAAUUCCAGACAUUUUCAGCAAUUUUGUAGAACAAGAGCUGAAGCAAAAGCUGCUUGCAGCAUUGGCUUCUAGAGUGCCCCAACCUAGCUGCUUCACCUGGUUCAUGGAUGUUGGUGAGAGUACUGGAAUUCUCCAUGAAGUCAGAUCUCCAGCUUUCUGUUGUCCCAGUGCCCUGCUCUACCCAGCUAAAGUCAACGAGGAAUGAGGAGUCCCUAACCAAUGAAAAGGACAUUAUAGCAACAGACCAGUGGUGACCAAGAGAUGUGGUGGUAAUGAUUUUGGAAGUACAACAGCAGAAAUUAAGAAAGUGAGUGUGAUGAGGACAAUAGGGGAGUAAGUGAGAGCCCAUCCAGGGCAGAUGUGGGAAUGGACAUCACCGUUAG
Molecule: long non-coding RNA, 459 nt
Filed under: Anser brachyrhynchus (Pink-footed goose)
Lineage: Eukaryota; Metazoa; Chordata; Aves; Anseriformes; Anatidae
Description: lncRNA (ENSABRG00000009606.1)
Source: RNAcentral